Molecule: ribosomal RNA, 492 nt
Filed under: uncultured bacterium
Lineage: Bacteria
Description: partial 16S ribosomal RNA
Rfam family: Bacterial small subunit ribosomal RNA
Source: RNAcentral
AGUGAACGCUGGCGGUAGGCCUAACACAUGCAAGUCGAACGGCAGCACAGUAAGAGCUUGCUCUUACGGGUGGCGAGUGGCGGACGGGUGGGGAAUACAUCGGAAUCUACUUUUUCGUGGGGGAUAACGUAGGGAAACUUACGCUAAUACCGCAUACGACCUACGGGUGAAAGCAGGGGAUCUUCGGACCUUGCGCGAUUGAAUGAGCCGAUGUCGGAUUAGCUAGUUGGCGGGGUAAAGGCCCACCAAGGCGACGAUCCGUAGCUGGUCUGAGAGGAUGAUCAGCCACACUGGAACUGAGACACGGUCCAGACUCCUACGGGAGGCAGCAGUGGGGAAUAUUGGACAAUGGGCGCAAGCCUGAUCCAGCCAUACCGCGUGAGUGAAGAAGGCCUUCGGGUUGUAAAGCCCUUUUGUUGGGAAAGAAAAGCAGCAGGUUAAUACCCCGCUGUUCUGACGGUACCCAAAGAAUAAGCACCGGCUAACUUCGUG